Molecule: small nucleolar RNA, 133 nt
Organism: Suncus etruscus (white-toothed pygmy shrew)
Lineage: Eukaryota; Metazoa; Chordata; Mammalia; Eulipotyphla; Soricidae
Product: small nucleolar RNA SNORA51
Exons: 1
Source: RefSeq, a predicted model, not a curated record
GGCCUCUCAAUUCUCACCACAGGCUCUAUUCUUUACACUGACUGUAUAGAAAGAGGAGGUACAAAAAAUGCACCCCAUAUACACCUCAACCCAGGCCCUUUGCCUGGUCUGUAUUGUGAAUAGGCCAAUAUUC